GCUUUCGUGGCUUAGUUGGUUCAAAGCGUCGGUCUCAUAAUCCGAAGGUCGCCGGUUCGACUCCGGCCGAGAGCA
Molecule: non-coding RNA, 75 nt
Organism: Chytriomyces sp. MP71
Lineage: Eukaryota; Fungi; Chytridiomycota; Chytridiomycetes; Chytridiales; Chytriomycetaceae
Source: the annotation of a GenBank genome assembly